UCAUUUUCAGGUUUAGAGAUGAUUGUACCAUCUAUGUUAAUUGUGGGUGUGUGUGGUCCUCUAGUUAUGAUACUCCACAAAUCAUAAUCUAGAGCUUCGAUAAAUAUUCUUACCCUAGCUUUCGGAUAUGUGUAGUUUGUUAAACAAGGGAGGUCCGUUUGUUGAUUGUCCCUCACUCAUGGAAUUUUCUAUUUGGGCUGCCAUGACCUUUAGCUCUUGAUCGUGAGAUCAGCAAAUACUAUGAGAGCACCUGCUCUGAUACCACUUGUUGCCCAAUGUGACAACCCAAGAGGGGGGGUGAAUUGGGUUUUCAAAAAUUUUCGACCUUAACUCUUCUUGAUGGAUGUGUGUGAGUGAUUUAGUUGGUGUUAAUUAUAUAAGUGCAAUUGAAAACACAAACAAGACAAUAUAAACACACAAGAAGUAUAGUGGUGCGGUGCACCCCAAGGCACCUACGUCCACUCUCCAAGCGUCCUCUUGGAAAUUCACUAUAAUCCUUCGGAUUACAGUUGGAUUGUUUUUCGACUCACAAUCCAAAAACCAUUACGA
RNAcentral lists this long non-coding RNA (549 nucleotides) under Phoenix dactylifera (date palm). Its description in RNAcentral is "long non-coding RNA (PDAC_LNC013610)". Lineage: Eukaryota; Viridiplantae; Streptophyta; Magnoliopsida; Arecales; Arecaceae. The record is from RNAcentral.